Molecule: ribosomal RNA, 1550 nt
Filed under: Klebsiella pneumoniae
Lineage: Bacteria; Pseudomonadati; Pseudomonadota; Gammaproteobacteria; Enterobacterales; Enterobacteriaceae
Also listed under: 1 other name
Description: bacterial SSU rRNA
Rfam family: Bacterial small subunit ribosomal RNA
Source: RNAcentral
AAAUUGAAGAGUUUGAUCAUGGCUCAGAUUGAACGCUGGCGGCAGGCCUAACACAUGCAAGUCGAGCGGUAGCACAGAGAGCUUGCUCUCGGGUGACGAGCGGCGGACGGGUGAGUAAUGUCUGGGAAACUGCCUGAUGGAGGGGGAUAACUACUGGAAACGGUAGCUAAUACCGCAUAACGUCGCAAGACCAAAGUGGGGGACCUUCGGGCCUCAUGCCAUCAGAUGUGCCCAGAUGGGAUUAGCUAGUAGGUGGGGUAACGGCUCACCUAGGCGACGAUCCCUAGCUGGUCUGAGAGGAUGACCAGCCACACUGGAACUGAGACACGGUCCAGACUCCUACGGGAGGCAGCAGUGGGGAAUAUUGCACAAUGGGCGCAAGCCUGAUGCAGCCAUGCCGCGUGUGUGAAGAAGGCCUUCGGGUUGUAAAGCACUUUCAGCGGGGAGGAAGGCGUUAAGGUUAAUAACCUUGUCGAUUGACGUUACCCGCAGAAGAAGCACCGGCUAACUCCGUGCCAGCAGCCGCGGUAAUACGGAGGGUGCAAGCGUUAAUCGGAAUUACUGGGCGUAAAGCGCACGCAGGCGGUCUGUCAAGUCGGAUGUGAAAUCCCCGGGCUCAACCUGGGAACUGCAUUCGAAACUGGCAGGCUAGAGUCUUGUAGAGGGGGGUAGAAUUCCAGGUGUAGCGGUGAAAUGCGUAGAGAUCUGGAGGAAUACCGGUGGCGAAGGCGGCCCCCUGGACAAAGACUGACGCUCAGGUGCGAAAGCGUGGGGAGCAAACAGGAUUAGAUACCCUGGUAGUCCACGCCGUAAACGAUGUCGAUUUGGAGGUUGUGCCCUUGAGGCGUGGCUUCCGGAGCUAACGCGUUAAAUCGACCGCCUGGGGAGUACGGCCGCAAGGUUAAAACUCAAAUGAAUUGACGGGGGCCCGCACAAGCGGUGGAGCAUGUGGUUUAAUUCGAUGCAACGCGAAGAACCUUACCUGGUCUUGACAUCCACAGAACUUUCCAGAGAUGGAUUGGUGCCUUCGGGAACUGUGAGACAGGUGCUGCAUGGCUGUCGUCAGCUCGUGUUGUGAAAUGUUGGGUUAAGUCCCGCAACGAGCGCAACCCUUAUCCUUUGUUGCCAGCGGUCCGGCCGGGAACUCAAAGGAGACUGCCAGUGAUAAACUGGAGGAAGGUGGGGAUGACGUCAAGUCAUCAUGGCCCUUACGACCAGGGCUACACACGUGCUACAAUGGCAUAUACAAAGAGAAGCGACCUCGCGAGAGCAAGCGGACCUCAUAAAGUAUGUCGUAGUCCGGAUUGGAGUCUGCAACUCGACUCCAUGAAGUCGGAAUCGCUAGUAAUCGUAGAUCAGAAUGCUACGGUGAAUACGUUCCCGGGCCUUGUACACACCGCCCGUCACACCAUGGGAGUGGGUUGCAAAAGAAGUAGGUAGCUUAACCUUCGGGAGGGCGCUUACCACUUUGUGAUUCAUGACUGGGGUGAAGUCGUAACAAGGUAACCGUAGGGGAACCUGCGGUUGGAUCACCUCCUUACCUUAAAGAA